RNAcentral lists this long non-coding RNA (320 nucleotides) under Androctonus crassicauda. The record is from RNAcentral. Lineage: Eukaryota; Metazoa; Arthropoda; Arachnida; Scorpiones; Buthidae.
GCUGAACUUACACCAGCAGCAUGCCAGCGAGGAGGAGGCGCAUUUCUUGGAUGUCGGCUUGGAGUUGCACGAGGGCGAGCUCCACACCUCCGUUUGUGGGGGGCCCACCUAUGAGCCGAUUAUUGUUCCGAGGUGGUCCCAUGAUCCAACCUCCUAUAGGGCCUCGGCGUUUGGAUUUUGCUUUGAAAGGGCUGAGCUCUGCAGCAACACUGGAGAGGGAAUGGAGGGGGAACUGCAGUGCAUAUAUGGGACGGGUUGCUUGCAUGGAUGUGCGAGAGGAUUUUUGGCAAGAGUUCAUACUGGAGUGGGGCGGUCCCUCA